UUUGUUUUGUUUUUUAAUUAUUGUUUUCGUUUGCCCUUUUCUAUUACUUCUCCUAAAUCAAUUUGGAUUCUUUGUCUCUGUUUGGUCGCUGACCAAAGGGAUGAAAAGGAAAAAAGAAAGCAAGCAAAACCGCUUGUUGUGGUUUCAAAACGCAAUUUUGUUGUCUUAAAACUUUGAUUUUGAUUCUUUCAUGUCAUGUGAUAUCUCUGCAAUGAAACAGAGCGGCCAAUCCAAG
Molecule: unclassified non-coding RNA, 235 nt
Filed under: Hevea brasiliensis (rubber tree)
Lineage: Eukaryota; Viridiplantae; Streptophyta; Magnoliopsida; Malpighiales; Euphorbiaceae
Source: RNAcentral